Cygnus olor (mute swan) is the source of this 1549-nucleotide long non-coding RNA. RefSeq lists it as uncharacterized. NCBI's taxonomy places the organism in Eukaryota, Metazoa, Chordata, Aves, Anseriformes, Anatidae. The transcript has 3 exons. The record is from RefSeq and is a predicted model, not a curated record.
AGUGCAGAAGGAGGGGGAGAAGGCACUCCAGGUGCCAGAGCUAAAACACCCCCGCAGCCCACAGAGAAGCCCGUGGUGGAGCAGGCUGACUCCACCCCCACAGCCCAUGGUGUACCACAGCAGAGCACAUCUCCAUGCUGCAGCCCAUGGAGAGGAGCCCAUGCAGGAGCAGGUGAUCGGAGGGAGGAGGUCCCCUGGGUGUCCCAAGCCAGACCAACCUGUUCCUGACGAAUAGACUCCGCGGCACAGACCCACACCUGGAGCAGCUCCCAAAGAGCCACUGCCUGUGGAAAAACCCACACAGGACCAGCCCAGGAAGGUCGGCACCCCAUGGGAGGGACCCCACACCAGAGCAGGGGAGAGAGCAACUGUGAAGGAGCAGUGGAAACUAAGCACCACGGAUUGACCACGGCCCCCCAUCACCACUCAAGACAGGGAAGAGGUGGAAGAGAGUGGAUGGGAGAAGGAACCCCCAGGUUGUUUCUUUGUUUCUCACCACUCUAGCCCGUCAGCAAUAGCACUGGAUUUCAUCCUGAACACAAAAGAAAUGGGAUCUCCAGGUCCGGACAAUAGCUGAAGGUACUGGAGUUGCAGAUUGGCCGACCCAGGCAUUCAGCUCAUGUCCACAUAGCCAGAAGAGACCACCUUUGCUAGGUGUUAAAGCAGCUGAGGAAGUGAUUCACAAACUCAAAUGCACAUGUGCUCUGAUAAAGGAAGAAACCCCUGCAAAAACCCACUGUGCCUGCAGCAGGUCCCCACGAAGACGGGGCACAAUUUGAAGCUCAUGCCCCACCGGUCUGCAGCCUUGGUUUGUCAUGGGAAAGAGCUGGCAAUGUCCUCAACAGCAUCAGACACUCCAGAAACACGACCUAUGUGUUUUGCCUGAAUUAUGAGAACGCAGAGGGCAUUCUUCAAAAAUACUUUGGGUAGCAUGCUGAUGGGCACAUACUGUGUCGGUAGGCAGGUUUACAUGCAUAGCCAUAAUGUUGAUGGACAAAAUAGUGUUCAGUUUGCAGUGGCAGCCUCUGUGUAGCCAUCCUGCAUGGCUACCCUGUGCAUUUCAAUUUUCUACAUAAAUGCUUUGGAAAAGGAGAUGGAAAACCUCUCUCUCUUUCCAACGCAACACACAGUCUGCACCCACUGCUAAAAAUUGUAUCAGUAUCAAUCUCCUCAGCAUCACAAACACACCCACAUGCGUCUGAAUCCUGAAAUGCUUAUUUUGCAAAGAGUGUGCCAAAAGAUUUACUUACUCUUUAGAACUGUUUAAUAAUGUUGUGGGGAUCAAAGGAGCAAGCAUUUUCAUGACAAAAGGAAUUUGUACUCCAGGCUUUACAGCACAGACAGUGAUUAGUGAGUCAUACAGAAGAAAGUGUCUCUCUUUUCUCUUUUAAAUAGCUGUUGUAGCAUUUACCUAAACAUUACAGUGCUGAAUCAGUAGUUUCUCAAGUCUUCACAGUGACUGCCUGAACUACACACCUUUACUUGGUACUCUCCUGGUGCUCUCUCCUCACCUGCAAAAUGUGUUCAGCACAGUUAGGUGGCUGCUAGC